CUCCAGUAAUAAUCUUGCGUGCCCUCAGCUUCGGCUGCCAAGGCGAUUAUCUGAGGCAUUUAAGGAAUGCACUGCUUUUCUCCCACUCCCUUUCUGCUGGCAGCUAAAAAGAUCAAAGAAGUAUCUUUUUAGUUGACAUUCCAUUUUCAUUGGCAGAGACAUUGCGAGCUGGUCCUUCACUGUGUCCAGGGCGGGCCAGAUCUAAGCACCCCACGAGCCUUGAGUUUGACACUCCCACCCUAUCGUAUCGUGGUUUCCCUUCCUUCCAGGGCUCCAGUAACCUGUAAUUGAAACUCAGCAGAGGGUGUAUUUUGGGGGUUGGAUGGGGCAGGGCUGCAGUGGGGCCCAAAGCGCCGCGGAUGGACCCGGCUCUCAUGUCUUCUCCGUGGUCCGGCUUUCCAGUUGCAGGUGGGUGUGGAAUUCGAAGCCAGCAGCCGCAUGCAAGACACCAGCGCAACCUUUGGAUACCAGCUGGAUCUCCCCAAAGCCAACCUCCUUUUCAGAGGCUCCAUCGACAGCAACUGGAUCGUGGGGGCGGUCUUGGAAAAGAAGCUGAUUCCGUUGCCCCUCACGCUAGCGAUGGGCGCCUUCCUGAAUCACCGCAAGAACAAAUUCCAGUGCGGCUUUGGCCUGACCAUUGGUUAAACUGCCCUUCUCCUUCUCCCUCCUUCCUCCUCUUCCUCCUCCUCUUCUUCAGUGCAGUGCGUGGCCCCGUUGUCCUCCCGCCCUGCACCCUUGUCUGGCCAGAGGUAGCUGUUGGUGUGUGUGUGGGGGGGGGGGGGGGGAGGGGGGGGGGAGGGGGGGGGGGGGUGGAGAGCAGGAAGGAUGCCUUCCGCCUCCCACCCAUAAGGAGGGGUUGGCGGUUCUCGGAGGAGCUGGAGGAUGGGAGGGGGGAGGAUUUGGCCCAAUAUACGGUUCACAAGGUCCUCCGGGCAACGCUUUGCCGCCUCCUGCCACCAGGGGGUGCUCUAGCAUCGGGAAUGGGGAAAGGCCUCCUUUCCCAAGGAUGCCAGGGGGCUGUGGGGAGCUUAGCCCCCUCCCCCCCCCCCCCAUCAACCUCCCCCCCCCCCCAUAUUUCCCAUUUCCUCCCGUUUUAUUUCCCCCUCCAUCCAUCCAAGGAAGGAGAGAGAGCCAAACUUUUGACGGUUUUCCAAAGAGAAAAAUCCAUAGGACCUGCAUUUUGGGUUUUUUUAAACUUCCGUUCCCACUCUAUCGAACUUUCCCUUGUUUUUGUUUAUGGGGGAAUGUGGGGUUUUUUUGGGGGGGGUGGGUGGGGGGUUCUCGCUUCCCUCAUGGGUUUGCCAAAAGAUUAGCGGCAAUCGUGGUUCUGUCGGGCCUGUUUUGGGGGGCGCCCGGUUGCACCCUCCUUCCCUCUCUUCCUGCUGGGUUUGCCAAAAGGUAAAAUGGCAGUUGUGGUUUUAUCAGGCCUGUUUUGGGG
RNAcentral lists this long non-coding RNA (1438 nucleotides) under Notechis scutatus (mainland tiger snake). RNAcentral describes it as "lncRNA (ENSNSUG00000000828.1)". The record is from RNAcentral. Lineage: Eukaryota; Metazoa; Chordata; Lepidosauria; Squamata; Elapidae.